Non-coding RNA from Cervus elaphus (red deer), 73 nucleotides. Lineage: Eukaryota; Metazoa; Chordata; Mammalia; Artiodactyla; Cervidae. The record is from the annotation of a RefSeq genome assembly.
UCCCUGGUGGCUCAGAUGGCAAAGCAUCUGCCUACGAUGCAAGAGACCCGGGUUCAAUCCCCGGGUCAGGGAA